UGGCGAACGGGUGAGUAACACGUGGGCAAUCUGCCCCUCACUGUGGGAUAACUCCGGGAAACCGGGGCUAAUACCGCAUAUGAAGCCUGGCGGCAUCGCCGGGUUUGGAAAGUUUUUCGGUGAGGGAUGAGCCCGCGGCCUAUCAGCUUGUUGGUGAGGUAAUGGCUCACCAAGGCGACGACGGGUAGCCGGCCUGAGAGGGCGACCGGCCACACUGGGACUGAGACACGGCCCAG
Molecule: ribosomal RNA, 236 nt
Filed under: uncultured bacterium
Lineage: Bacteria
Description: partial 16S ribosomal RNA
Rfam family: Bacterial small subunit ribosomal RNA
Source: RNAcentral